This 253-nucleotide ribosomal RNA is filed under the name uncultured bacterium. Its description in RNAcentral is "partial 16S ribosomal RNA". It matches the Rfam family "Bacterial small subunit ribosomal RNA", at positions 524 to 776 of the family's 1533-position model. The record is from RNAcentral.
UACGUAGGGUGCAAGCGUUAAUCGGAAUUACUGGGCGUAAAGCGUGCGCAGGCGGUUUUGUAAGUCUGUCGUGAAAGCCCCGGGCUCAACCUGGGAAUUGCGAUGGAGACUGCAAGGCUUGAAUCUGGCAGAGGGGGGUAGAAUUCCACGUGUAGCAGUGAAAUGCGUAGAGAUGUGGAGGAACACCGAUGGCGAAGACAGCCCCCUGGGUCAAGAUUGACGCUCAUGCACGAAAGCGUGGGGAGCAAACAGG